UAAUGUAUGGGGAUCUGCCCGAUAGAGGGGGGUAACUACUGGAAACGGUGGCUAAUACCGCAUAAUGUCUACGGACCAAAGCAGGGGCUCUUCGGACCUUGCACUAUCGGAUGAACCCAUAUGGGAUUAGCUAGUAGGUGGGGUAAAGGCUCACCUAGGCGACGAUCUCUAGCUGGUCUGAGAAGAUGAUCAGCCACACUGGGACUGAGACACGGCCCAG
This 220-nucleotide ribosomal RNA is filed under the name uncultured bacterium. RNAcentral's name for it is "partial 16S ribosomal RNA". It matches the Rfam family "Bacterial small subunit ribosomal RNA", at positions 111 to 334 of the family's 1533-position model. The record is from RNAcentral.